This 500-nucleotide ribosomal RNA is filed under the name uncultured bacterium. RNAcentral's name for it is "partial 16S ribosomal RNA". It matches the Rfam family "Bacterial small subunit ribosomal RNA", at positions 30 to 523 of the family's 1533-position model. The record is from RNAcentral.
AUUGAACGCUGGCGGCAGGCCUAACGCAUGCAAGUCGAGCGGUAGAGAGAAGCUUGCUUUUCUUGAGAGCGGCGGACGGGUGAGUAAUGCCUAGGAAUCUGCCUGGUAGUGGGGGAUAACGUUCGGAAACGGACGCUAAUACCGCAUACGUCCUACGGGAGAAAGUGGGGGAUCUUCGGACCUCACGCUAUCAGAUGAGCCUAGGUCGGAUUAGCUAGUUGGUGAGGUAAUGGCUCACCAAGGCGACGAUCCGUAACUGGUCUGAGAGGAUGCUCAGUCCCACUGGAACUGAGACACGGGCCAGACUGCUACGGGAGGCAGCAGUGGGGAAUAUUGGACAAUGGGCGCAAGCCUGAGCCAGCCAUGCCGCGUGUGUGAAGAAGGUCUUCGGAUUGUAAAGCACUUUAAGUUGGGAGGAAGGUCAGUAGCUUAAUACGUUGCUGAUUUGACGUUACCGACAGAAUAAGCACCGGCUAACUCUGUGCCAGCCGCCGCGGUAA